UACGUAGGGUGCAAGCGUUGCCCGGAUUUAUUGGGCGUAAAGGGCGCGUAGGCGGCUCUGCACGUCCGUUGUGAAAUCGCCCGGCUCAACUGGGCGGGGUCAGCGGAUACGGCAGAGCUUGAGCAAGCUAGGGGGCAAUGGAAUUCCCGGUGUAGCGGUGAAAUGCGCAGAUAUCGGGAAGAACACCCGUGGCGAAAGCGGCUCACUGGGUCUCUUCUGACGCUGAGGCACGAAAGCUAGGGGAGCAAACGGG
This 253-nucleotide ribosomal RNA is filed under the name uncultured bacterium. Its description in RNAcentral is "partial 16S ribosomal RNA". It matches the Rfam family "Bacterial small subunit ribosomal RNA", at positions 524 to 776 of the family's 1533-position model. The record is from RNAcentral.